Molecule: ribosomal RNA, 468 nt
Filed under: uncultured bacterium
Lineage: Bacteria
Description: partial 16S ribosomal RNA
Rfam family: Bacterial small subunit ribosomal RNA
Source: RNAcentral
GACGAACGCUGGCGGCGUGCUUAACACAUGCAAGUCGAACGGAAAGGCCCUGCUUUUGUGGGGUGCUCGAGUGGCGAACGGGUGAGUAACACGUGAGUAACCUGCCCUUGACUUUGGGAUAACUUCAGGAAACUGGGGCUAAUACCGGAUAGGAGCUCCUGCUGCAUGGUGGGGGUUGGAAAGUUUCGGCGGUUGGGGAUGGACUCGCGGCUUAUCAGCUUGUUGGUGGGGUAGUGGCUUACCAAGGCUUUGACGGGUAGCCGGCCUGAGAGGGUGACCGGCCAAGUUGGGACUGAGAUACGGCCCAGACUCCUACGGGGGGCAGCAGUGGGGAAUAUUGCACAAUGGGCGGAAGCCUGAUGCAGCAACGCCGCGUGCGGGAUGACGGCCUUCGGGUUGUAAACCGCUUUCGCCUGUGACGAAGCGUGAGUGACGGUAAUGGGCAAAGAAGCACCGGCUAACUACGUG